Long non-coding RNA from Procambarus clarkii (red swamp crayfish), 260 nucleotides. RefSeq lists it as uncharacterized. Lineage: Eukaryota; Metazoa; Arthropoda; Malacostraca; Decapoda; Cambaridae. The record is from RefSeq and is a predicted model, not a curated record.
AGUGUUGUUUUACCUCACUUUUGGUAUACAGUUCAGCCUCGUCUCUUGAGGUUGAGCUGUAUGGCUCGGGCGACCACAUCCAGGCAACAUGGAAGACAACGAGGACUCUGUACUGAAGAACAUCUAUAUUGACGGCAUAGUGACACAACAUUGCCUGUCACCACUUCAUAUAUUAAGUGACGCCAGCCUUUGAUAUUUUUUUUCCAGAAAAUGACUUCACUAAAUGUUAGUUGUGAAAUAUUAAAAUUGAAACCAACUCA